CUUCUGUGCCUCCCAGCAACGGGAACACCACAAGGACACAACAAUGUUCCCAUGACAUCACAGCAGCAGCUCACCCAAAAACUACCUGGAAGGUUCUCCUGUGACACCAAGGAGCACAAAGAAUCCUCAGAGGGCACAACCUAUUGCUCAAAAGCUCCAAGAGGAACUCUGAAAAUACAGCAAACAAGGACACCCCACAACCCAGCCUGAACACUGAGAAGGAAAAAAGAUGUGACCAAACCAAAGGAAACAUGACUGUUGGUCAUUGAUGCUUCUGCCUAAAACCAGCAAGACUUGUUCCAUCUGGGAUCUUUGUUCUAGUUCUAAAAACAAGCAAGGAGCUGUUGCCUUUUCCUGUGUGCUGAACUACCUUCUAACUAUUAGAAAGUGAGUGAGUAAAGGAAAUUACCCUGGAGGAAGGAGACCAGAACCUUGGAAAAGAAUGAAAUACAUCUGGAUUACAAAUAAAAUCUAUUUCAUUUA
This is a long non-coding RNA of Passer domesticus (house sparrow), 483 nucleotides long. RefSeq lists it as uncharacterized. Lineage: Eukaryota; Metazoa; Chordata; Aves; Passeriformes; Passeridae. The transcript is spliced from 2 exons. The record is from RefSeq and is a predicted model, not a curated record.